UGGGGAAUUUUGCACAAUGGGGGAAACCCUGAUGCAGCGACGCCGCGUGUACGAUGAAGAUCUUCGGAUUGUAAAGUACUGUCCUUGGUGAAGAUAAUGACUGUAACCAAGAAGCAAGCCCUGGCUAAAUACGUGCCAGCAGCCGCGGUAAUACGUAUGGGGCAAGCGUUGUCCGGAAUUAUUGGGCGUAAAGGGUACGUAGGCGGUUAGUUAAGUCUAAAUUAAAAGGCAUUGGCUCAACCAAUGUAAGGUUUAGAUACUGGGUAACUUGAGUAGAUGAGGGGAAAGUGGAAUUCCAUGUGUAGCGGUGAAAUGCGUAGAUAUAUGGAGGAACACCAAUGGCGAAGGCAACUUUCUGGAAUCAAACUGACGCUGAGGUACGAAGGCGUGGGGAGCAAACAGG
RNAcentral lists this ribosomal RNA (403 nucleotides) under Fusobacteriota bacterium. Its description in RNAcentral is "Fusobacteria bacterium partial 16S ribosomal RNA". It matches the Rfam family "Bacterial small subunit ribosomal RNA", at positions 355 to 776 of the family's 1533-position model. The record is from RNAcentral. Lineage: Bacteria; Fusobacteriati; Fusobacteriota.